Small nucleolar RNA from Neogobius melanostomus (round goby), 67 nucleotides. The record is from Ensembl. Lineage: Eukaryota; Metazoa; Chordata; Actinopteri; Gobiiformes; Gobiidae.
UUUCAAUGACGAUAACUUUGUCAGUUCUGCUACUGAGUGCAAGUGACGACAGUUUGACCCUGAGAAA